AGAACGGCGGGUGGGACUUCCUUCAGAGGUCCGCUCACCCUUUGGGCCGCACUAAUAUUAUACUUUCAUAUCAUGGUGGGGGCCACGAGACAUCGUUCUGCGGGCCGCAGUUGGCCUGCGGGCCGCGAGAAUGAGACCUCUGCUUAAGGCGUCACUGCAGUUAAAAA
Poecilia latipinna (sailfin molly) is the source of this 167-nucleotide long non-coding RNA. RefSeq lists it as uncharacterized. The record is from RefSeq and is a predicted model, not a curated record. NCBI's taxonomy places the organism in Eukaryota, Metazoa, Chordata, Actinopteri, Cyprinodontiformes, Poeciliidae. The transcript is spliced from 3 exons.